RNAcentral lists this ribosomal RNA (1346 nucleotides) under uncultured bacterium. RNAcentral describes it as "partial 16S ribosomal RNA". It matches the Rfam family "Bacterial small subunit ribosomal RNA", at positions 28 to 1381 of the family's 1533-position model. The record is from RNAcentral.
GACGAACGCUGGCGGCGUGCUUAACACAUGCAAGUCGAACGGAAAGGCCCUGCUUUUGUGGGGUGCUCGAGUGGCGAACGGGUGAGUAACACGUGAGUAACCUGCCCUUGACUUUGGGAUAACUUCAGGAAACUGGGGCUAAUACCGGAUAGGAGCUCCUGCUGCAUGGUGGGGGUUGGAAAGUUUCGGCGGUUGGGGAUGGACUCGCGGCUUAUCAGCUUGUUGGUGGGGUAGUGGCUUACCAAGGCUUUGACGGGUAGCCGGCCUGAGAGGGUGACCGGCCACAUUGGGACUGAGAUACGGCCCAGACUCCUACGGGAGGCAGCAGUGGGGAAUAUUGCACAAUGGGCGGAAGCCUGAUGCAGCAACGCCGCGUGCGGGAUGACGGCCUUCGGGUUGUAAACCGCUUUCGCCUGUGACGAAGCGUGAGUGACGGUAAUGGGUAAAGAAGCACCGGCUAACUACGUGCCGGCAGCCGCGGUGAUACGUAGGGUGCGAGCGUUGUCCGGAUUUAUUGGGCGUAAAGGGCUCGUAGGUGGUUGAUCGCGUCGGAAGUGUAAUCUUGGGGCUUAACCCUGAGCGUGCUUUCGAUACGGGUUGACUUGAGGAAGGUAGGGGAGAAUGGAAUUCCUGGUGGAGCGGUGGAAUGCGCAGAUAUCAGGAGGAACACCAGUGGCGAAGGCGGUUCUCUGGGCCUUUCCUGACGCUGAGGAGCGAAAGCGUGGGGAGCGAACAGGCUUAGAUACCCUGGUAGCCCACGCUGUAAACGGUGGGUACUAGGUGUGGGGUCCAUUCCACGGGUUCCGUGCCGUAGCUAACGCUUUAAGUACCCCGCCUGGGGAGUACGGCCGCAAGGCUAAAACUCAAAGGAAUUGACGGGGCCCCGCACAAGCGGCGGAGCAUGCGGAUUAAUUCGAUGCAACGCGUAGAACCUUACCUGGGUUUGACAUGGAUCGGGAGUGCUCAGAGAUGGGUGUGCCUCUUUUGGGGUCGGUUCACAGGUGGUGCAUGGCUGUCGUCAGCUCGUGUCGUGAGAUGUUGGGUUAAGUCCCGCAACGAGCGCAACCCUUGUUCACUGUUGCCAGCACGUUAUGGUGGGGACUCAGUGGAGACCGCCGGGGUCAACUCGGAGGAAGGUGGGGAUGACGUCAAGUCAUCAUGCCCCUUAUGUCCAGGGCUUCACGCAUGCUACAAUGGCUGGUACAGAGAGUGGCGAGCCUGUGAGGGUGAGCGAAUCUCGGAAAGCCGGUCUCAGUUCGGAUUGGGGUCUGCAACUCGACCUCAUGAAGUCGGAGUCGCUAGUAAUCGCAGAUCAGCAACGCUGCGGUGAAUACGUUCCCGGGGCU